Molecule: ribosomal RNA, 500 nt
Filed under: uncultured bacterium
Lineage: Bacteria
Description: partial 16S ribosomal RNA
Rfam family: Bacterial small subunit ribosomal RNA
Source: RNAcentral
AUUGAAUGCUGGCGGAAUGCUUUACACAUGCAAGUCGAACGGCAGCACGGACUUCGGUCUGGUGGCGAGUGGCGAACGGGUGAGUAAUGUAUCGGAACGUGCCCAGUCGUGGGGGAUAACGUAGUGAAAAUUACGCUAAUACCGCAUACGAUCUAUGGAUGAAAGCGGGGGAUGGCAAGACCUCGCGCGAUUGGAGCGGCCGAUAUCAGAUUAGGUAGUUGGUGGGGUAAAGGCCCACCAAGCCAACGAUCUGUAGCUGGUCUGAGAGGACGACCAGCCACACUGGAACUGAGACACGGUCCAGACUCCUACGGGAGGCAGCAGUGGGGAAUUUUGGACAAUGGGCGAAAGCCUGAUCCAGCCAUUCCGCGUGCAGGAUGAAGGCCCUCGGGUUGUAAACCGCUUUUGUACAGAACGAAAAGGUUUCUACUAAUACUAGGAGCUCAUGACGGUACUGUAAGAAUAAGCACCGGCUAACUACGUGCCAGCCGCCGCAGUAA